RNAcentral lists this small RNA (487 nucleotides) under Pongo abelii (Sumatran orangutan). RNAcentral describes it as "retained intron". Lineage: Eukaryota; Metazoa; Chordata; Mammalia; Primates; Hominidae. The record is from RNAcentral.
GUUCCUUGGAGAGCUUGGAGCCGCGCGCCCAAGGGAAUAGGAAAGCUUGGUUACAACCCGGGACACCCGGAGCUUCAGGAUGGUUCGUACUAAGACAUGGACCCUGAAGAAGCACUUUGUUGGCUAUCCUACUAAUAGUGACUUUGAGUUGAAGACAGCUGAGCUCCCACCCUUAAAAAAUGGAGAGGUCCUGCUUGAAGCUUUGUUCCUCACCGUGGAUCCUUACAUGAGAUUCGCAGCCAGAAGUUUGAAGGAAGGUGAUAAAAUGAUGGGGCAGCAAGUGGCCAGGUAAUUAUUUCCAUUUGUCCCAAUGCUUGGAAAAUAUAUCUCCUCUACCUCCUGCUGGGUCCUGUCUCUGUCCAUUGCUCCUACAAUUUCUUCAGCCUGUGUUGUUCACUCACUGUGUGAUCUUGGAAUCAACUUGGGAAAUUCUGUCCCCUUCCUGACUAGCUGGAAAGGAGAGAAGGAUGUGAAAUUGUCAUUUUUU